Molecule: long non-coding RNA, 522 nt
Organism: Brienomyrus brachyistius
Lineage: Eukaryota; Metazoa; Chordata; Actinopteri; Osteoglossiformes; Mormyridae
Exons: 3
Source: RefSeq, a predicted model, not a curated record
UGAGUCCUUGUGUUUUUCCCUCAGCGGCUCUUCAGCUUUGGGAAAGCAGGUUAAAUUUUGACCGGUCUCAUUUUAAAAGCUGGAUCCAGUUCAAACACAGGGUGCAGCAGCGUUCUCCUCUGACACUGAUAAAGCUGAGCGUCCUGCUUGGUCACCUCUCCCCAGCUGGCUGCCAGCCCAGCCGAUGGACAGCUGCUGUGAGAGGACUCCUGUGUGUUGGGAAAAACAUGCUGUUAAGGAGCACCCCAGAUGUUCCCUGCCUUUGUCGCUCCCCUCGAGAAGGUCCCAUCGACAGGACACGCCUGACUAGACCCCGAUCCUUGUUUAGCCCGUCACUACCAACCCAUUCCGAUUGCCCGACAUGUGCCUGAAUCACGGAUUUCGAUUGGCGCCUCUGCCCAUCGUCGACCGACCCCGAUCAGCAAGCCCCCGCCCCGAUCACCUUCAUUCUCCUUCAAAAGCUCCGUCAACUGUCAUACCGGUUGUGUGAAGCAUUUGGAAAUAAAGGUCACGCUUACCUUA